CGGGGGGAGCAAGCGUUGUUCGGAUUUACUGGGCGUAAAGGGCGGAUAGGCGGCCACUGCAAGUCGGUUGUGAAAUCUCCGGGCUUAACUCGGAAAGGUCAAUCGAUACUGCAGGGCUAGAGUGCAGAAGGGGCAACUGGAAUUCUCGGUGUAGCGGUGAAAUGCGUAGAUAUCGAGAGGAACACCUGCGGCGAAGGCGGGUUGCUGGGCUGACACUGACGCUGAACUGCGAAAGCUAGGGGAGCGAACGGGAUUAGAUACCCCGGUAGUCCUAGCCUUAAACGAUGAAUGCUUGGUGUCUGGGGUUUUAUAGUCCCCGGGUGCCGUCGCUAACGCUUUAAGCAUUCCGCCUGGGGAGUACGGUCGCAAGACUG
Molecule: ribosomal RNA, 374 nt
Filed under: uncultured organism
Description: bacterial SSU rRNA
Rfam family: Bacterial small subunit ribosomal RNA
Source: RNAcentral